CGCUGGCGGCAGGCCUAACACAUGCAAGUCGAGCGGAAACGACUUAACUGACCUUCGGGGAACGUUAAGGGCGUCGAGCGGCGGACGGGUGAGUAAUGCCUGGGAAAUUGCCCUGAUGUGGGGGAUAACCAUUGGAAACGAUGGCUAAUACCGCAUAAUGCCUUCGGGCCAAAGAGGGGGACCUUCGGGCCUCUCGCGUUAGGAUAUGCCCAGGUGGGAUUAGCUAGUUGGUGAGGUAAGGGCUCACCAAGGCGACGAUCCCUAGCUGGUCUGAGAGGAUGAUCAGCCACACUGGAACUGAGACACGGUCCAGACUCCUACGGGAGGCAGCAGUGGGGAAUAUUGCACAAUGGGCGCAAGCCUGAUGCAGCCAUGCCGCGUGUAUGAAGAAGGCCUUCGGGUUGUAAAGUACUUUCAGUCGUGAGGAAGGUAGUGUAGUUAAUAGCUGCAUUGCUUGACGUUAGCGACAGAAGAAGCACCGGCUAACUCCGUG
This 493-nucleotide ribosomal RNA is filed under the name uncultured Vibrio sp. RNAcentral's name for it is "bacterial SSU rRNA". It matches the Rfam family "Bacterial small subunit ribosomal RNA", at positions 34 to 507 of the family's 1533-position model. Lineage: Bacteria; Pseudomonadati; Pseudomonadota; Gammaproteobacteria; Vibrionales; Vibrionaceae. The record is from RNAcentral.